This 305-nucleotide unclassified non-coding RNA is filed under the name plant metagenome. RNAcentral describes it as "partial contains 5.8S ribosomal RNA, internal transcribed spacer 2, and large subunit ribosomal RNA". The stretch from base 1 to 105 matches the Rfam family "5.8S ribosomal RNA", at positions 50 to 154 of the family's 154-position model. The record is from RNAcentral.
GAAAUGCGAUAAGUAGUGUGAAUUGCAGAAUUCAGUGAAUCAUCGAAUCUUUGAACGCACAUUGCGCCCCUUGGUAUUCCAUGGGGCAUGCCUGUUCGAGCGUCAUCUACACCCUCAAGCUCUGCUUGGUGUUGGGCGUCUGUCCCGCCCCCGCGCGUGGACUCGCCCCAAAUCCAUUGGCAGCGUUCCUUGCCCCCUCUCGCGCAGCACAUUGCGCUUCUCGAGGGCGGCUCCGGGACGCGAUCCAGCAAGAUGACCACCCUCUUUGACCUCGGAUCAGGUAGGGAUACCCGCUGAACUUAAGC